AUGCAGUCGAGCGGUAAGGCCCUUUCGGGGGUACACGAGCAGCGAACGGGUGAGUAAUAAGCCGGGUGACCUGCCUUUAGCUCUGGGAUAAGCCUGGGAAACUGGGUCUAAUACCGGAUAUGACUCCAUGGUGCAUGCUUGUGGGGUGGAAAGCCUUGUGCGGCUAGGGAUGGGCCCGCGGCCUAUCAGCCUGUUGGUGGGGUGAUGGCCUACCAAGGCGACGACGGGUAGCCGGCCUGAGAGGGCGACCGGCCACACUGGGACUGAGACACGGCCCAGACUCCUACGGGAGGCAGCAGUGGGGAAUCUUGCGCAAUGGGCGAAAGCCUGACGCAGCGACGCCGCGUGAGGGAUGACGGCCUUCGGGUUGUAAACCUCUUUCAGCCCUGACGAAGCGAGAGUGACGGUAGGGGCAGAAGAAGCACCGGCCAACUACGUGCCAGCAGCCGCGGUAAUACGUAGGGUGCAAGCGUUGUCCGGAAUUAUUGGGCGUAAAGAGCUCGUAGGCGGUCUGUCGCGUCGGCUGUGAAAACUCGGGGCUCAACCCCGAGCUUGCAGUCGAUACGGGCAGGCUGGAGUUCGGCAGGGGAGACUGGAAUUCCUGGUGUAGCGGUGAAAUGCGCAGAUAUCAGGAGGAACACCGGUGGCGAAGGCGGGUCUCUGGGCCGAUACUGACGCUGAGGAGCGAAAGCGUGGGGAGCGAACAGGAUUAGAUACCCUGGUAGUCCACGCCGUAAACGUUGGGCGCUAGGUGUGGGAUCCCUUCCACGGGUUCCGUGCCGCAGCUAACGCAUUAAGCGCCCCGCCUGGGGAGUACGGCCGCAAGGCUAAAGCUCAAGGGAAUUGACGGGGGCCCGCACAAGCGGCGGAGCAUGUGGAUUAAUUCGAUGCAACGCGAAGAACCUUACCUGGGUUUGACAUACACCGGAAAGCUGUGGAGACAUGGCCUCCGUAAGGUCGGUGUACAGGUGGUGCAUGGCUGUCGUCAGCUCGUGUCGUGAGAUGUUGGGUUAAGUCCCGCAACGAGCGCAACCCUUGUCCUAUGUUGCCAGCGGCCAGUGACUUUGUUACUGGGCCGGGGACUCAUGGGAGACUGCCGGGGUCAACUCGGAGGAAGGUGGGGACGACGUCAAGUCAUCAUGCCCCUUAUGUCCAGGGCUUCACACAUGCUACAAUGGCCGGUACAGAGGGCUGCGAAGCCGUGAGGUGGAGCGAAUCCCACAAAGCCGGUCUCAGUUCGGAUCGGGGUCUGCAACUCGACCCCGUGAAGUCGGAGUCGCUAGUAAUCGCAGAUCAGCAAUGCUGCGGUGAAUACGUUCCCGGGCCUUGUACACACCGCCCGUCACGUCACGAAAGUCGGUAACACCCGAAGCCGGUGGCCUAACCCUUUAUUGGGGGGGAGCCGUCGAA
RNAcentral lists this ribosomal RNA (1410 nucleotides) under uncultured bacterium. RNAcentral's name for it is "bacterial SSU rRNA". It matches the Rfam family "Bacterial small subunit ribosomal RNA". The record is from RNAcentral.